GGGCAGGUCCUAGGAUCCUGUUCGCCCUCGUUAGCGUUCGCGCUUCUCUUAGAAGACUGCCCAGCCGAAUGGAAGCCAUCUGGAUGGCAUCGUCAAAGAGAAUGCUACCUGUGAUCCUGCCAUAUCAUAUCUGUCUCAAAGAUUAAGCCAUGCAUGUAAGUAUGAACAAAUCAGACUGUGAAACUGCGAAUGCUCAUAAAUCAGUUAUAGUUGUUGAUGUAUCUGCUACUCGGAUAACCGUAGUAAUCUAGAGCUAAUACGUGCAACAAACCCCGACUUCUGGAAGGAUGCAUUAUUAGAUAAAAGUCGACGCGGCUUGCCCGUGCUGCGAUGAUCAUGAUAACUCGACGGAUCGCACGCCCUUGCCGCGACGCAUCAUUCAAAUUCUGCCCUAUCAACUUCGAUGGAGAUA
Molecule: long non-coding RNA, 412 nt
Filed under: Helianthus annuus (common sunflower)
Lineage: Eukaryota; Viridiplantae; Streptophyta; Magnoliopsida; Asterales; Asteraceae
Rfam family: Eukaryotic small subunit ribosomal RNA (bases 106-412)
Source: RNAcentral